GAUGAACGCUGGCGGCGUGCCUAAUACAUGCAAGUCGAGCGAACAGACGAGGAGCUUGCUCCUCUGACGUUAGCGGCGGACGGGUGAGUAACACGUGGAUAACCUACCUAUAAGACUGGGAUAACUUCGGGAAACCGGAGCUAAUACCGGAUAAUAUAUUGAACCGCAUGGUUCAAUAGUGAAAGACGGUUUUGCUGUUACUUAUAGAUGGGUCCGCGCCGCAUUAGCUAGUUGGUAAGGUAACGGCUUACCAAGGCUACGAUGCGUAGCCGACCUGAGAGGGUGAUCGGCCACACUGGAACUGAGACACGGUCCAGACUCCUACGGGAGGCAGCAGUAGGGAAUCUUCCGCAAUGGGCGAAAGCUUGACGGAGCAACGCCGCGUGAGUGAUGAAGGUCUUCGGAUCGUAAAACUCUGUUAUUAGGGAAGAACAAAUGUAUAAGUAACUAUGCACGUCUUGACGGUACCUAAUCAGAAAGCCACGGCUAACUACGUG
RNAcentral lists this ribosomal RNA (497 nucleotides) under uncultured bacterium. RNAcentral describes it as "partial 16S ribosomal RNA". It matches the Rfam family "Bacterial small subunit ribosomal RNA", at positions 28 to 507 of the family's 1533-position model. The record is from RNAcentral.